AUUGAACGCUGACGGCAUGCCUUACACAUGCAAGUCGAACGGCAGCACGGGAGCAAUCCUGGUGGCGAGUGGCGAACGGGUGAGUAAAGUAUCGGAACGUGCCCAGUCGUGGGGGAUAACGUAGCGAAAGUUACGCUAAUACCGCAUACGAUCUAUGGAUGAAAGCGGGGGAUCGCAAGACCUCGCGCGAUUGGAGCGGCCGAUAUCAGAUUAGGUAGUUGGUGGGGUAAAGGCCCACCAAGCCAACGAUCUGUAGCUGGUCUGAGAGGACGACCAGCCACACUGGAACUGAGACACGGUCCAGACUCCUACGGGAGGCGGCAGUGGGGAAUUUUGGACAAUGGGCGAAAGCCUGAUCCAGCCAUUCCGCGUGCAGGGUGAAGGCCCUCGGGUUGUAAACUGCUUUUGUACAGAACGAAAAGGUUUCUACUAAUACUAGGAGCUCAUGACGGUACUGUAAGAAUAAGCACCGGCUAACUACGUGCCAGCCGCCGCCGUAA
Molecule: ribosomal RNA, 500 nt
Filed under: uncultured bacterium
Lineage: Bacteria
Description: partial 16S ribosomal RNA
Rfam family: Bacterial small subunit ribosomal RNA
Source: RNAcentral